CCUACGGGAGACAGCAGUAGGGAAUCUUUCACAAUGGGCGAAAGCCUGAUGGAGCAACGCCGCGUGCAGGAUGAAGGCCUUCGGGUUGUAAACUGCUUUUAUAAGCGAGAAAUAUGAUGGUAACUUAUGAAUAAGGAUCGGCUAACUACGUGCCAGCAGCCGCGGUCAUACGUAGGAUCCGAGCAUUAUCCGGAGUGACUGGGUGUAAAGAGUUGCGUAGGUGGCAUAAUAAGUAGCUAGUGAAAUCUGGUGGCUCAACCAUUCAGACUAUUAGCUAAACUGUUAAGCUCGAGACCGGUAGGGGUAACUGGAAUGUCUAGUGUAGGAGUGAAAUCCGUAGAUAUUAGAAGGAACACCAAUAGCGUAGGCAGGUUGCUGGGACGGUUCUGACACUAAGGCACGAAAGCGUAGGGAGCAAACGGGAUUAGAUACCCUAGUAGUC
Molecule: ribosomal RNA, 442 nt
Filed under: uncultured bacterium
Lineage: Bacteria
Description: partial 16S ribosomal RNA
Rfam family: Bacterial small subunit ribosomal RNA
Source: RNAcentral